This 280-nucleotide ribosomal RNA is filed under the name uncultured Lactobacillales bacterium. RNAcentral's name for it is "partial 16S ribosomal RNA". It matches the Rfam family "Bacterial small subunit ribosomal RNA", at positions 73 to 339 of the family's 1533-position model. The record is from RNAcentral. Lineage: Bacteria; Bacillati; Bacillota; Bacilli; Lactobacillales.
UGAUUGAUAACAUUUGAGUUGAGUGGCGGACGGGUGAGUAACACGUGGGUAACCUGCCCUAAAUGGGGGAUAACAUUUGGGAAACAGAUGCUAAUACCGCAUAAAACCUAGCACCGCAUAGGUGCGAGGUUUGUAAAGAUGGUUUCGGCUAUCACUUUAGGAUGGACCCGCGGUGCAUUAGUUAGUUGGUGAGGUUAAAGGGCUCAACCAAGACCGUGAUGCAUAGCCGACCUGAGAGGGUAAUCGGGCCACAUUGGGACUGAGACACGGCCCAGACUCC